Molecule: ribosomal RNA, 404 nt
Filed under: Actinomycetes bacterium
Lineage: Bacteria; Bacillati; Actinomycetota; Actinomycetes
Description: Actinobacteria bacterium partial 16S ribosomal RNA
Rfam family: Bacterial small subunit ribosomal RNA
Source: RNAcentral
UGGGGAAUAUUGGACAAUGGGCGCAAGCCUGAUCCAGCCAUGCCGCGUGAGUGAUGAAGGCCCUAGGGUUGUAAAGCUCUUUCACCGGUGAAGAUAAUGACGAUAACCGGAGAAGAAGCCCCGGCUAACUUCGUGCCAGCAGCCGCGGUAAUACGAAGGGGGCUAGCGUUGUUCGGAUUUACUGGGCGUAAAGCGCACGUAGGCGGACUUUUAAGUCAGGGGUGAAAUCCCGGGGCUCAACCCCGGAACUGCCUUUGAUACUGGAAGUCUUGGGUAUGGUAGAGGUGAGUGGAAUUCCGAGUGUAGAGGUGAAAUUCGUAGAUAUUCGGAGGAACACCAGUGGCGAAGGCGGCUCACUGGACCAUUACUGACGCUGGGGUGCGAAAGCGGGGGGAGCAAACAGG